Molecule: long non-coding RNA, 398 nt
Organism: Triticum dicoccoides
Lineage: Eukaryota; Viridiplantae; Streptophyta; Magnoliopsida; Poales; Poaceae
Exons: 4
Source: RefSeq, a predicted model, not a curated record
AAAGGAUGUCAAGUUUUCCAAGAUCAUUUGCAAGUCAUUUGAGGCCAGGAUAUAGACCUGCUCCAACUUCUUCUUCUGAUGGCAAUGGCUCUCUGGUGUCGGAUGGAGGGUCCAGGUAUUCAUGAUCAGGAGAUGACCUUGGAGGAGCAGCGGAAAGCAAUACUCGCGCUAAAGACUGAGAAGAGAAAACUAGUUGGAUCUAAAGAAAAUUCAGUGUACAAAUGCUAAAUGUAAUGUUUGGAUCAUAUUGGGGUUUACUGAUUGGAUCAUAUGUUCAGAUCAGUACUAAACGUGGUACUGUACUUUGCAAAUGCUAGAGUGGUAUUUCCUACUUGCAAAACAAAAUUCAGUUUAGCAUGUAAUGUUUGGAUCAUAAGUUUACAAAUGUUGAUUCUGAA